Molecule: ribosomal RNA, 254 nt
Filed under: uncultured bacterium
Lineage: Bacteria
Description: partial 16S ribosomal RNA
Rfam family: Bacterial small subunit ribosomal RNA
Source: RNAcentral
CACGUAGGGGGCGAGCGUUGUCCGGAUUUAUUGGGCGUAAAGAGCUCGUAGGCGGCUCGGUAAGUCAGGUGUGAAAACUCUAGGCUCAACCUAGAGACGCCACCUGAUACUGCUGUGGCUAGAGUCCGGUAGGGGAGCAUGGAAUCCCUGGUGUAGCGGUGAAAUGCGCAGAUAUCAGGAGGAACACCAGUGGCGAAGGCGGUGCUCUGGGCCGGAACUGACGCUGAGGAGCGAAAGCGUGGGGAGCAAACAGG